Molecule: small RNA, 27 nt
Filed under: Bombyx mori (domestic silkworm)
Lineage: Eukaryota; Metazoa; Arthropoda; Insecta; Lepidoptera; Bombycidae
Description: ovarian small RNA-31390
Source: RNAcentral
UGACAGAUUGUUAAUGGCUGAAAGCGG